This 38-nucleotide ribosomal RNA is filed under the name Oxytropis kansuensis. RNAcentral's name for it is "partial 28S ribosomal RNA". Lineage: Eukaryota; Viridiplantae; Streptophyta; Magnoliopsida; Fabales; Fabaceae. The record is from RNAcentral.
CGAGACCUCAGGUCAGGCGGGGCUACCCGCUGAGUAAA